Globicephala melas (long-finned pilot whale) is the source of this 107-nucleotide small nuclear RNA. The record is from RefSeq and is a predicted model, not a curated record. Lineage: Eukaryota; Metazoa; Chordata; Mammalia; Artiodactyla; Delphinidae.
GUGCACGCUUUGGCAGCACAUAUACUAAAAUUGGAACGAUACGGAGAAGGUUAGCAUGGCUCCUGCACAAGGAUAACAUGCAAAUUCGUGAAACACUGCAUAUUUUA